RNAcentral lists this ribosomal RNA (1479 nucleotides) under uncultured bacterium. RNAcentral describes it as "bacterial SSU rRNA". It matches the Rfam family "Bacterial small subunit ribosomal RNA". The record is from RNAcentral.
AACGAACGCUGGCGGCGUGGAUAAGACAUGCAAGUCGAACGCUGAUUACAGGGUAGCAAUAUUCUGAAGUCGGAGUGGCGCAAGGGUGUGUAACACGUGGGCAAUUUGCCGCGAAGUUCGGAAUAACUCGCUGAAAGGCGAGCUAAUACCGAAUGUGACUGCCGAGGGGUAUCCCUUGGCAUUUAAAGGUGGGGACCGCAAGGCCUGCCGCUUCACGAUAAGCCCGCGGCCUAUCAGCUAGUUGGCGGGGUAACGGCCCACCAAGGCUAAGACGUGUAGCUGGUCUGAGAGGACGACCAGCCACACUGGAACUGAGACACGGUCCAGACACCUACGGGUGGCAGCAGUCGAGAAUUUUUCACAAUGGGCGAAAGCCUGAUGGAGCGACGCCGCGUGGGGGAUGAAUGGCUUCGGCCCGUAAACCCCUGUCAUUUGCGAUCAAACCCUGUAAUUUAAUAAAUUACGGACUGAUAGUAGCGGAAGAGGAAGGGACGGCUAACUCUGUGCCAGCAGCCGCGGUAAUACAGAGGUCCCAAGCGUUGUUCGGAUUCACUGGGCGUAAAGGGUGCGUAGGUGGCGCGGUAAGUCUGACGUGAAAUCUCCGAGCUUAACUCGGAAACUGCGUCGGAUACUGCCGGGCUUGAGGGUUGGAGGGGAGACUGGAAUACUUGGUGUAGCAGUGAAAUGCGUAGAUAUCAAGUGGAACACCAGUGGCGAAGGCGAGUCUCUGGACAAAUUUCCUGACACUGAUGCACGAAAGCUAGGGGAGCAAACAGGAUUAGAUACCCUGGUAGUCUUAGCUGUAAACGGUGCACGUUUGCUGUAAAUGGAAUCGACCCCAUUUGUGGCGAAGCUAACGCGUUAAACGUGCCGCCUGGGAAGUACGGUCGCAAGAUUAAAACUCAAAGAAAUUGACGGGGGCCUGCACAAGCGGUGGAGUAUGUGGCUUAAUUCGAUGCAACGCGAAGAACCUUACCUGGCCUUGACAUGUGUUUAGUAGAAGGGUGAAAGCCUGACGAGAUAGUAAUAUCAGGACACACAGGUGCUGCAUGGCUGUCGUCAGCUCGUGUCGUGAGAUGUUGGGUUAAGUCCCGCAACGAGCGCAACCCCUGUGUUUAGUUGCAAUCGGCCUUUAUGGUCCGAGCACUCUGAACAGACUGCCUCAUUUAAAUGAGGAGGAAGGUGGGGACGACGUCAAGUCAGUAUGGCCCUUACGGCCAGGGCUGCACACGUACUACAAUGCCCAGCACAGUAGGAAGCAAAACUGCAAGGUGGAGCAAAUCCUAAAAACUGGGCCCAGUUCAGAUUGUCGUCUGCAACUCGACGGCAUGAAGCUGGAAUCGCUAGUAAUGGCGCAUCAGUUACGGCGCCGUGAAUACGUUCCCAGGCCUUGUACACACCGCCCGUCACAUCAUGAAAGCCGGUUGUACCCGAAGUCGGCAAAUAUUGCCGCCUAAGGUAUGGCUGGUGAUUGGGAUG